GCCCGCUUGGCUCAACAGGCAGAGCAUCCGUCUUGUAAGCGGGAGGUUGCGAGUUCGAUUCUCGCGGCGGGCA
Molecule: transfer RNA, 73 nt
Filed under: Alphaproteobacteria bacterium
Lineage: Bacteria; Pseudomonadati; Pseudomonadota; Alphaproteobacteria
Description: tRNA-Thr
Rfam family: tRNA
About the family: Transfer RNA (tRNA) molecules are approximately 80 nucleotides in length.
Source: RNAcentral